GACGAACCGUGCGAACGUUGUUCGGAAUCACUGGGCUUAAAGGGCGCGUAGGCGGCGAGUCAAGUCCGGGGUGAAAUCUUUCAGCUCAACUGGAAAAGUGCCUUGGAUACUGAUUCGCUCGAGGGAGGUAGGGGCCGAGGGAACUUCCGGUGGAGCGGUGAAAUGCGUAGAUAUCGGAAGGAACGCCGGUGGCGAAAGCGCUCGGCUGGACCUCUUCUGACGCUGAGGCGCGAAAGCUAGGGGAGCAAACGGG
Molecule: ribosomal RNA, 253 nt
Filed under: uncultured bacterium
Lineage: Bacteria
Description: partial 16S ribosomal RNA
Rfam family: Bacterial small subunit ribosomal RNA
Source: RNAcentral